This 408-nucleotide ribosomal RNA is filed under the name uncultured bacterium. Its description in RNAcentral is "partial 16S ribosomal RNA". It matches the Rfam family "Bacterial small subunit ribosomal RNA", at positions 355 to 755 of the family's 1533-position model. The record is from RNAcentral.
UGGGGAAUUUUGGACAAUGGGCGAAAGCCUGAUCCAGCAAUGCCGCGUGUGUGAAGAAGGCCUUCGGGUUGUAAAGCACUUUUGUCCGGAAAGAAAUCCUUGGCUCUAAUACAGUCGGGGGAUGACGGUACCGGAAGAAUAAGCACCGGCUAACUACGUGCCAGCAGCCGCGGUAAUACGUAGGGUGCAAGCGUUAAUCGGAAUUACUGGGCGUAAAGCGUGCGCAGGCGGUUUGCUAAGACCGAUGUGAAAUCCCCGGGCUCAACCUGGGAACUGCAUUGGUGACUGGGCAGGCUAGAGUAUGGCAGAGGGGGGUAGAAUUCCACGUGUAGCAGUGAAAUGCGUAGAGAUGUGGAGGAAUACAUGGCGAAGGCAGCCCCCUGGGCCAAAUACUGACGCUCAUGCACG